CAGCCGCCACGGUAAAACGGAGGAUCCAAGCGUUAUCCGGAAUCAUUGGGUUUAAAGGGUGCGUAGGCGGUCUUGUAAGUCAGUGGUGAAAGCCCAUCGCUCAACGGUGGAACGGCCAUUGAUACUGCAGGACUUGAAUUAGUGGGAGGUAACUAGAAUAUGUAGUGUAGCAGUGAAAUGCUUAGAGAUUACAUGGAAUACCAAUUGCGAAGGCAGGUUACUACCAAUUGAUUGACGCUGAUGGACGAAAGCGUGGGUAGCGAACAGGAUUAGAUACCCCCGUAGUCCCUGUCUCUUAUAC
RNAcentral lists this ribosomal RNA (301 nucleotides) under uncultured bacterium. Its description in RNAcentral is "partial 16S ribosomal RNA". It matches the Rfam family "Bacterial small subunit ribosomal RNA", at positions 509 to 807 of the family's 1533-position model. The record is from RNAcentral.